Molecule: ribosomal RNA, 433 nt
Filed under: uncultured bacterium
Lineage: Bacteria
Description: partial 16S ribosomal RNA
Rfam family: Bacterial small subunit ribosomal RNA
Source: RNAcentral
AACGAACGCUGGCGGCAUGCCUAACACAUGCCAGUCGAACGAGACCUUCGGGUUUAGUGGCGCACGGGUGCGUAACGCGUGGGAACCUGCCCUUAGGUUCGGAAUAACGCCCCGAAAGGGGUGCUAAUACCGGAUAAUGUCUUCGGACCAAAGGUUUAUCGCGUUUGGGUGGGCCGGCGUUGGAUUGGCUAGUUGGUAGGGUAAAAGCCUACCAAGGCGACGAUCCAUAGCUGGUCUGAGAGGAUGAGCAGCCACACUGGGACUGGGACACGGCCCAGACUCCUGCGCGAGGGAGCAGUGGGGAAUAUUGGACAACGGGCGGAAGCCUGAUCCAGCAAUGCCGGGUGAGUGAUGAAGGCCUUAGGGUUGUAAAGUUCUUUUACACGGGAUGAUAAUGACAGUACCGGGAGAAUAAGCACCGGCUAACUCCGUG